Molecule: non-coding RNA, 453 nt
Organism: Caretta caretta (loggerhead turtle)
Lineage: Eukaryota; Metazoa; Chordata; Testudines; Cheloniidae
Source: the annotation of a RefSeq genome assembly
AUGAAAUCUCUGCUUCUUUUCCUUUCCCUGUUCUCCGCUCCCAUCUGUGUCUUCUCUCAAGUGCAGCUGGUCCAGUCCGGCCCAGGAGCGGUGAAGCCAGGAGAGACCCUUACCCUGACCUGUGCUGUCUCCGGGUUCUCCAUCACUACGCAGCAUUACCAUUGGCACUGGCUUCGGCAGCCCCCCGGGAAAGGGCUGGAGUGGAUGGGGUAUGUGUAUCCAUACAAUGGCGGGGAGACAGGCUACGCCCCGUCUCUCCAAGGCCGAGUCACCAUCUCUGCAGACACCUCGAAGAACCAGGUCUCCCUGCAGCUCCGCUCGCUGACGGCUGCAGACACCGCCGCCUGUUACUGCGUCAGGAGGAGAAAUUACACAGUGCCACAGAGCAGAGCAGGGACUGAGGGCAGCACGGUGAACACGAGCCGGUCCAUCAAAAGAACCAAAGACUUGUGA